RNAcentral lists this ribosomal RNA (461 nucleotides) under Eikenella corrodens. RNAcentral describes it as "bacterial SSU rRNA". It matches the Rfam family "Bacterial small subunit ribosomal RNA", at positions 30 to 474 of the family's 1533-position model. The record is from RNAcentral. Lineage: Bacteria; Pseudomonadati; Pseudomonadota; Betaproteobacteria; Neisseriales; Neisseriaceae.
AUUGAACGCUGGCGGCAUGCUUUACACAUGCAAGUCGAACGGCAGCGGGGUAGUGCUUGCACUACUGUCCGGCGAGUGGCGAACGGGUGAGUAAUAUAUCGGAACGUACCGAGUAAUGGGGGAUAACCAAUCGAAAGAUUGGCUAAUACCGCAUACGUCCUAAGGGAGAAAGCGGGGGAUCGCAAGACCUCGCGUUAUUCGAGCGGCCGAUAACUGAUUAGCUAGUUGGUGGGGUAAAGGCCCACCAAGGCGACGAUCAGUAGCGGGUCUGAGAGGACGAUCCGCCACACUGGGACUGAGACACGGCCCAGACUCCUACGGGAGGCAGCAGUGGGGAAUUUUGGACAAUGGGGGCAACCCUGAUCCAGCCAUGCCGCGUGUAUGAAGAAGGCCUUCGGCUUUGUAAAGUACUUUUGUUGGGGAAGAAAAGGGAAAGUGUUAAUACCACUUUUUUGCUGACG